UGCAGUCGAACGAUGUUCUGAUUAUUGAAUGGGUGCUUGCAUCUUGAUUUAAUUUUGAACGAGUGGCGGACGGGUGAGUAACACGGUGGGUAACCUGCCCUUAAGUGGGGGAUAACAUUUGGAAACAGAUGCUAAUACCGCAUAAGAUCCAAGAACCGCAUGGUUCUUGGCUGAAAGAUGGCGUAAGCUAUCGCUUUUGGAUGGACCGCGCGGCGUAUUAGCUAGUUGGUGAGGUAACGGCUCACCAAGGCAAUGAUACGUAGCCGAACUGAGAGGUUGAUCGGCCACAUUGGGACUGAGACACGGCCCAAACUCCUACGGGAGGCAGCAGUAGGGAAUCUUCCACAAUGGACGCAAGUCUGAUGGAGCAACGCCGCGUGAGUGAAGAAGGCUUUCGGGUCGUAAAACUCUGUUGUUGGAGAAGAAUGGUCGGCAGAGUAACUGUUGUCGGCGUGACGGUAUCCAACCAGAAAGCCACGGCUAACUACGUGCCAGCAGCCGCGGUAAUACGUAGGUGGCAAGCGUUAUCCGGAUUUAUUGGGCGUAAAGCGAGCGCAGGCGGUUUUUUAAGUCUGAUGUGAAAGCCCUCGGCUUAACCGAGGAAGUGCAUCGGAAACUGGGAAACUUGAGUGCAGAAGAGGACAGUGGAACUCCAUGUGUAGCGGUGAAAUGCGUAGAUAUAGUGGAAGAACACCAGUGGCGAAGGCGGCUGUCUGGUCUGUAACUGACGCUGAGGCUCGAAAGCAUGGGUAGCGAACAGGAUUAGAUACCCUGGUAGUCCAUGCCGUAAACGAUGAAUGCUAGGUGUUGGAGGGUUUCCGCCCUUCAGUGCCGCAGCUAACGCAUUAAGCAUUCCGCCUGGGGAGUACGACCGCAAGGUUGAAACUCAAAGGAAUUGACGGGGGCCCGCACAAGCGGUGGAGCAUGUGGUUUAAUUCGAAGCAACGCGAAGAACCUUACCAGGUCUUGACAUCUUUUGAUCACCUGAAGAGAUCAGGUUUCCCCUUCGGGGGCAAAAUUGACAGGUGGUGCAUGGUUGUCGUCAGCUCGUGUCGUG
Molecule: ribosomal RNA, 1057 nt
Filed under: Lactobacillus sp.
Lineage: Bacteria; Bacillati; Bacillota; Bacilli; Lactobacillales; Lactobacillaceae
Description: bacterial SSU rRNA
Rfam family: Bacterial small subunit ribosomal RNA
Source: RNAcentral